Non-coding RNA from Maylandia zebra (zebra mbuna), 368 nucleotides. The record is from RefSeq and is a predicted model, not a curated record. Lineage: Eukaryota; Metazoa; Chordata; Actinopteri; Cichliformes; Cichlidae.
UGGAGAGCCUGAAUGCGAGCAGAAAUGAGCUGGGUGUGGAUGACGACACACUGCAGCAAUGGGCUGAAGAAACGGAUCAAACUGAUGGCAGCCUUGGAGCGUUGCAGGCACGAGUAGAGGAGCUUGUCGUCAUCAUCAGAGUGCGAACACAAAGUCUUUACAGACAAAAUGGUGUCACAGUUUCUUUGAAACGGACCGUUUGAUGCUCAGUUUGUACAGCUUGUACAGCUACUUUGUAAACAGAAUAAAAUCAGAUCCAGAUAGCAACAAGAGGCGACACAGAAUUCACAAGGUCAUCUUAGAUGAGAAGAAACGCUUGGCGGCUGCUGUUGACGACUACAACAAGGAAACAAGCAACAAAGCAAAUC